GAUGAACGCUGGCGGCGUGCCUAAUACAUGCAAGUCGAGCGAACAGAUGAGGAGCUUGCUCCUCUGACGUUAGCGGCGGACGGGUGAGUAACACGUGGAUAACCUACCUAUAAGACUGGGAUAACUUCGGGAAACCGGAGCUAAUACCGGAUAAUAUAUUGAACCGCAUGGUUCAAUAGUGAAAGACGGUUUUGCUGUCACUUAUAGAUGGAUCCGCGCCGCAUUAGCUAGUUGGUAAGGUAACGGCUUACCAAGGCAACGAUGCGUAGCCGACCUGAGAGGGUGAUCGGCCCCACUGGAACUUAGACACGGUCCAGACUCCUACGGGAGGCAGCAGGAGGGAAUCUUCCGCCAUGGGCGAAAGCCUGACGGAGCAACGCCGCGUGAGUGAUGAAGGUCUUCGGAUCGUAAAACUCUGUUAUUAGGGAAGAACAAAUGUGUAAGUAACUAUGCACGUCUUGACGGUACCUAAUCAGAAAGCCACGGCUAACUACGUG
Molecule: ribosomal RNA, 497 nt
Filed under: uncultured bacterium
Lineage: Bacteria
Description: partial 16S ribosomal RNA
Rfam family: Bacterial small subunit ribosomal RNA
Source: RNAcentral